RNAcentral lists this ribosomal RNA (900 nucleotides) under uncultured bacterium. RNAcentral describes it as "bacterial SSU rRNA". It matches the Rfam family "Bacterial small subunit ribosomal RNA", at positions 62 to 993 of the family's 1533-position model. The record is from RNAcentral.
UCGACGAUGAAUCUUCUAGCUUGCUAGAAGUGGAUUAGUGGCGCACGGGUGAGUAAUGCAUAGGUUAUGUGCCCUUUAGUCUGGGAUAGCCACUGGAAACGGUGAUUAAUACUGGAUACUCCCUACGGGGGAAAGUUUUUCGCUAAAGGAUCAGCCUAUGUCCUAUCAGCUUGUUGGUGAGGUAAUGGCUCACCAAGGCUAUGACGGGUAUCCGGCCUGAGAGGGUGAUCGGACACACUGGAACUGAGACACGGUCCAGACUCCUACGGGAGGCAGCAGUAGGGAAUAUUGCUCAAUGGGGGAAACCCUGAAGCAGCAACGCCGCGUGGAGGAUGAAGGUUUUAGGAUUGUAAACUCCUUUUGUUAGAGAAGAUUAUGACGGUAUCUAACGAAUAAGCACCGGCUAACUCCGUGCCAGCAGCCGCGGUAAUACGGAGGGUGCAAGCGUUACUCGGAAUCACUGGGCGUAAAGAGUGCGUAGGCGGGGUAAUAAGUCAGAUGUGAAAUCCUGUAGCUUAACUACAGAACUGCAUUUGAAACUGUUACUCUGGAGUGUGGGAGAGGUAGGUGGAAUUCUUGGUGUAGGGGUAAAAUCCGUAGAGAUCAAGAGGAAUACUCAUUGCGAAGGCGACCUGCUGGAACAUUACUGACGCUGAUGCACGAAAGCGUGGGGAGCAAACAGGAUUAGAUACCCUGGUAGUCCACGCCCUAAACGAUGGAUGCUAGUUGUUGCCUUGCUUGUCAGGGCAGUAAUGCAGCUAACGCAUUAAGCAUCCCGCCUGGGGAGUACGGUCGCAAGAUUAAAACUCAAAGGAAUAGACGGGGACCCGCACAAGCGGUGGAGCAUGUGGUUUAAUUCGAAGAUACGCGAAGAACCUUACCUAGGCUUGACAUUGAUAG